AUGUUUGGAUAUCUUUCAAUUACUUCUGAACAAGAAAGAUGUAGUGCCAUGCUAAGUUUGGAUGUGGAGUUGCAAUUUAACCUGCUUUGCAGCUCCAUUUUGUCUUGCUACAACAAUAGCUUGCCUCUAUGGUUCAGGGGUCAGGAACUUACAUGGGCUUGCUCUUCUUUCAUGUAUUAUAUAUGGGGUCCACGCUGCUUAGAUUGUCUAAAAUUUAUCUUCAUUUCUACAAGUUUUCUUGUCAAUGAACUUGACGGCUAUUUGGUCAUGUAUUUGACUGCUUGUAUUUUUUAUUUCCUAAUUGUGCACUUAGUCUGCAUAAAAUUCGUUAGUACAUAUUUCCUUGCAAUUAUACUAAAUUUCUGUUUGCAUCCUUUUUCCAUUUUGGUGGAAUGUAGACAUUGCUUAAGAUGUAGUUUGAUAUUUUUCUAG
RNAcentral lists this ribosomal RNA (432 nucleotides) under Triticum aestivum (bread wheat). Its description in RNAcentral is "partial small subunit ribosomal RNA". Lineage: Eukaryota; Viridiplantae; Streptophyta; Magnoliopsida; Poales; Poaceae. The record is from RNAcentral.